CCGCGGUAAUACGUUAGGGGGCAAGCGUUAUCCGGAUUUUACUGGGUGUAAAAGGGAGCGUAGACGGAGCAGCAAGUUUGAUGGAAAAGGCGGGGGCUCAACCCCCGGACUGCAUUGGAAACUGUUGAUCUUGAGUACCGGAGAGGUAAGCGGAAUUCCUAGUGUAGCGGUGAAAUGCGUAGAUUAUUAGGAGGAACACCAUGGCGAAGGCGGCUUACUGGACGGUAACUGACGUGAGGCUCGAAAGCGUGGGGAGCAAACAGGAUUAGAUACCUGGUAGUCCACGCCGUAAAACGACGAAAAAAAGGUGUCGGGGGGCAGAGCCAUUCGGUGCCGCAGCAAACGCAGUAAGUAUUCCACCUGGGGAGUACGUUCGCAAGAAUGAAGCUCAAAGGAAUGGACGGGGACCCGCACAAGCGGUGGAGCAUGUGGUUUAAUUCGAAGCAACGCGAAGAACCUUACCAAGUCUUGACAUCCCUCUGACCGGUGAGUAACGUCACCCUUCCUUCGGGACAGAGGAGACAGGUGGUGCAUGGUUGUCGUCAGCUCGUGUCGUGAGAUGUUGGGUUAAGUCCCGCAACGAGCGCAACCCCUAUCCUUAGUAGCCAGCAUUUGAGGUGGGCACUCUGAGGAGACUGCCAGGGAUAACCUGGAGGAAGGCGGGGAUGACGUCAAAUCAUCAUGCCCCUUAUGAUUUGGGCUACACACGUGCUACAAUGGCGUAAACAAAGGGAAGCGAGAGUGUGAGCUUAAGCAAAUCCCAAAAAUAACGUCCCAGUUCGGACUGCAGUCUGCAACUCGACUGCACGAAGCUGGAAUCGCUAGUAAUCGCGGAUCAGAAUGCCGCGGUGAAUAAAAGGCCGGGUCUUGCACU
This 874-nucleotide ribosomal RNA is filed under the name uncultured bacterium. Its description in RNAcentral is "bacterial SSU rRNA". It matches the Rfam family "Bacterial small subunit ribosomal RNA", at positions 515 to 1387 of the family's 1533-position model. The record is from RNAcentral.